UCUCAUCCAUGUUUAUCCCAGCUAUCAGCAGAGACAGCGGGUGGUCUCUUUCCGUUUCUUUAACCAUUGGGUUGAGGAAGCUUCCUUUUUGGAUAUUGUCUCCUCAGUUUGGGCCAAAGAUACUAGUUUGGGCCAAAAUAACUAGCCAUUUUGGUAAGCACAUUUGAAACAUUAGUAUGUUCGUCUUGCUAAAUUUACCUCGGACCUUAGAGAGAGGUGGAGACUAAUCCUUUAUGUGAGAAGCUGAGUAAACGAGCGAGCUUAGCCACAAAAAAUUUUGGGGAGCGGUUAGAGUGGAGGAAGCUGCUAUGCGCCAAAAAUCUAGAAUAUGGUGGCUAAAAUUAGGUGACCAUAAUACUGCCUUCUUUCAUAGGACUGUUAGGUCUCACUUAAACAAUAGUACUUUGCGGUUUGUGGUUCAUCCAGAUGGUACUCGGUUGACUAACUAUGAAGAGGUGACUCAACUGGCAGUAAAUUAUUUUAAAAAC
RNAcentral lists this long non-coding RNA (488 nucleotides) under Cucumis sativus (cucumber). Its description in RNAcentral is "long non-coding RNA (CSAT_LNC002333)". Lineage: Eukaryota; Viridiplantae; Streptophyta; Magnoliopsida; Cucurbitales; Cucurbitaceae. The record is from RNAcentral.